CUACGAGACGCUCCAGUGGGGAAUAUUGCACAAUGGAGGAAACUCUGAUGCAGCAACGCCGCGUGGAGGAUGACACUUUUCGGAGCGUAAACUCCUUUUAUAUAGGAAGAAGAUGACGGUACUAUAUGAAUAAGCGCCGGCUAACUCCUUGCCAGCAGCCGCGGUAAUACGGAGGGCGCAAGCGUUACUCGGAAUCACUGGGCGUAAAGAGCGUGUAGGCGGAUUAAAAAGUCAGAAGUGAAAUCCUAUAGCUUAACUAUAGAACUGCUUCUGAAACUCUUAAUCUAGAAUAUGGGAGAGGUAGAUGGAAUUUCUGGUGUAGGGGUAAAAUCCGUAGAGAUCAGAAGGAAUACCGAUUGCGAAGGCGAUCUACUAGAACAUUAUUGACGCUGAGACGCGAAAGCGUGGGGAGCAAACAGGAUUAGAUACCCCAGUAGUC
Molecule: ribosomal RNA, 439 nt
Filed under: uncultured bacterium
Lineage: Bacteria
Description: partial 16S ribosomal RNA
Rfam family: Bacterial small subunit ribosomal RNA
Source: RNAcentral